RNAcentral lists this ribosomal RNA (1839 nucleotides) under Triticum aestivum (bread wheat). RNAcentral describes it as "partial small subunit ribosomal RNA". Lineage: Eukaryota; Viridiplantae; Streptophyta; Magnoliopsida; Poales; Poaceae. The record is from RNAcentral.
AUGGUUCGUCCCCUCUUCGCCCGGCGGCGGCCGCCGCCGGAGCACGCCGGCAUAUAUCCUAACUGGGUCCUCCUCGACACCGUAGUGCGCGGGGCAAACUACGACUGGGAGAAAAUGUCAAUCACUGAGUGUUCUUCUUCCUUGGCUACCACAGCCAGAACAUUCGUGGAUGUCAGAAGUGAGGCGGAGUCGAAGGAAGAAGUGGUGGUGGAGGUGGAGGUUUCCUUCUUAUUCGCCAGCCCACCGGAUGUAUCUGGCUUCGUUGUCCAUGUUGGGGAUUACGGGUUGUCGUAUGGUGCCUCCGUCGUUAGCACCGAUGGCAACGCUGUUCUGCUAGCCAUUACCAUGGCAAUGUUCAACUUGCAGCGCUAUCUCGUCUACAGGGUUGACCAAGGGAAUCCGUCACUUGAGGUGCUUCCAGACCGACCUAUGCUGAAAUUCCAUCCAACCAAAGUGGUUGGCAUCCUCAGCCAUGGCAAGGGAUACAUUGUGGCUGCCUUGACGCGCAAGCUCAAAAUUGACUAUCUUGCUUAUGAGCUCUUUCUCUACACAUCCCAGACCAAGGCAUGGAGCAGCAAGGUGAUACCACUGGAGUGUACUAGGGACGCUGACCUGAUUCACGUCCUUAACCACCAUACCACCAAGGUAAUCACAGUUGGAGUGGAUUCAUUGGGGUGGGUUGACCUUUGGCGUGGUAUACUUUUCUGCAAUGUGCUUGAUGAGAAUCCAGUGGUCCGCUUCUUGAGCUUUCCUUGCCCCAUGCCGUCUAAUGCAUGUAACUUGGGAACAUCAUGUCCUAGGCCGUUUAGGGAUGUGAUCUGCAUUGGCAACACACUGAAGUUUGUUGAGGUGGAGUAUAACCAAGGUGAAGAUGAUACUGACUAUGGUUCGAAUACUGACCAUGGUUGGAAGGCGACAACUCAGAAGAGGAAUCUCGGGUCAGGGUGGACUGAAUGCUUUAGUGUAGAUACUAGUGACAUCCAUUUAACCGAUGAAAGUUGGGAUUUGUUGUCACACAGGCUGCGGGAUGAUGAUGCACGCCAACUUUCCUUGAGUAAGUUGGAGUGUUUAGCUCCUACCCUUGGCAUAGAUGAUGACUAUCUUUACAUGAUGACCCGGCCACUUGGAAGCAAUGAGAAGCCAUUGGGUCUGUUUGCUUCUCUUGACAUUAAAAAUAAGGACAUGAGGCUUGUGUCUUUUUCUACGGAAAGGAUGUCAUAUAUUGAUCCCAACUACCGGCCAUGUACUGUUUCACGUUACUUCAACAACACCUCUGGGAAGCCUCUCAAAAGUAAGAACAAGAAAGCUGCACCAAGGUUUAUUAUUGGUGAAAAUCUGAGGUGGAUUGGUUUGGUUAAAUUAGCAGUGCUCCGCAACAUCCUUGUUGCCAUUCAAAAGCUCACGUCGUUAGAUGCAAUACUGAUGAAACCAGAAAGGCCGGAUGAAACACAGCUAGAUCAAACAUGGCUAAGGAAUUGCUCUGCCUCUGUUGAAAUGCUUGGCCAGAUGGCCCAUGGUAUUAGUUCGUACACUGAUCAUUUACCUGCAACCAGCAUCCAAUACCAUGUUGACGCACUUAAAGAAGGGUUUUCUAUUUUGGGUGGUAAGACUUUCCCAUUUAUGGACAAUGACGAGUAUGCAAGUUUUGUCGAUAUCACACACUUCAAAAUAUUGGAUGUCGUAAAAGUGGCGCGCAGCAGUCUUGUAAAAGAAUUGCUGCCUAAAAGACUGGACGAUCCACAUUAUUCGCUCCGAUCUGUGGAACGGACUCUUAUGUAUGGAGAGCUGCCACUGACACCGUAUCUGAGGCGUCUUGACCUGUCAGAAGGAUGUGCUUAG